GCGGUUUGUCGCGUCUGCUGUGAAAUCCCGAGGCUCAACCUCGGGCCUGCAGUGGGUACGGGCAGACUAGAGUGCGGUAGGGGAGAUUGGAAUUCCUGGUGUAGCGGUGGAAUGCGCAGAUAUCAGGAGGAACACCGAUGGCGAAAGCAGAUCUCUGGGCCGUAACUGACGCUGAGGAGCGAAAGGGUGGGGGGCAAACAGGCUUAGAUACCCUGGUAGUCCACCCCGUAAACGUUGGGAACUAGUUGUGGGGUCCAUUCCACGGAUUCCGUGACGCAGCUAACGCAUUAAGUUCCCCGCCUGGGGAGUACGGCCGCAAGGCUAAAACUCAAAGGAAUUGACGGGGACCCGCACAAGCGGCGGAGCAUGCGGAUUAAUUCGAUGCAACGCGAAGAACCUUACCAAGGCUUGACAUAUACGAGAACGGGCCAGAAAUGGUCAACUCUUUGGACACUCGUAAACAGGUGGUGCAUGGUUGUCGUCAGCUCGUGUCGUGAGAUGUUGGGUUAAGUCCCGCAACGAGCGCAACCCUCGUUCUAUGUUGCCAGCACGUAAUGGUGGGAACUCAUGGGAUACUGCCGGGGUCAACUCGGAGGAAGGUGGGGAUGACGUCAAAUCAUCAUGCCCCUUAUGUCUUGGGCUUCACGCAUGCUACAAUGGCCGGUACAAAGGGCUGCAAUACCGUGAGGUGGAGCGAAUCCCAAAAAGCCGGUCCCAGUUCGGAUUGAGGUCUGCAACUCGACCUCAUGAAGUCGGAGUCGCUAGUA
RNAcentral lists this ribosomal RNA (767 nucleotides) under uncultured bacterium. RNAcentral's name for it is "bacterial SSU rRNA". It matches the Rfam family "Bacterial small subunit ribosomal RNA", at positions 575 to 1340 of the family's 1533-position model. The record is from RNAcentral.